UCUUUUUCCUACACCGUUAUUUUUCCAUGAAAAUAGACUCAACAAGCUUUAAUUCCAUAUAUCAUUCACCCUCUAAUUCAUUUUAUACUAUCUUGGGUGAUUUUUCAAAUUCACGUCACUGUGCUGCCUGAAUUCUGUUUCUUUGCAAAAUAUUAUCCUUUUAUGAUUUCCAUGCAUAAUUUAUCACCUAAUCUUUCAUAACAACAAACACCUUCAUCCUUAAUCAUUUUAAUAACCAUACAUCAUCAACUACUUACACAUCACUCAUUAUUCAUAUUAUACCAAAAGUAGCUAAGUUUCUAUACAUGCCAUACACAAAACAAAACGUCUAAUUAUACCGAGUUAUUUCUUUGAUAGUGUGAUCGGCCUCCGACGUUUCCUUCGAUCCCCGAGUGGCUAGAUAAGUACUAUAAGAAGAAGAAAAUAAAGAGAUUAAGCACUAGGCUUAGUAAGCUUACAAGCAAAUAAAUCACAACAUUCAACAUAAUGGAUAAUUAUGCAUAAUAUCAUCUAACAUCAUAAAUUUCUUUACUUCUCAAUUUCUAUCUUCUUCUUUAUUCCCUUACCUUCUUUCUUACCUGACCUUUCCGUUUUCAUAAAUAUAAUCUACUUUUCCUUUGCUGUUAAUUCACUGUAAUUUAACUCGUACCCUGACCCGUUGAACCACUCGGAAUACUAAGGAUACUAGGGUCGUUCCUGUCUAUCAAUAUCCUGCCAAUGCCAUGUCUUUAACAUGGACUUACAUGAAUUAUUCCUGUCUCCAAUGCCAUAUAUAAUAUGGACUUACAUGGCUCAAUCCUGUCUCCAAAGCCAUAUUUCUAAUAUGGACUUACAUGGCUCAUUUCUGUUCUGUCCUGUCAACCCUAAUAUCCUAACAUUCCUAGAGUUCAACCGGAGCUUUCUAACACUUUUCCUCUGUCACUUCACCUUAAAUUCGACUUUAAAUAUUUUCAUAACAUAAAUAUAUAAAUGCUGGAAAUUGACAAUAAUAAUGUAAAAUAAAAGAAUAUUGCAUUUAUUUACUGUAAACUUACCUUGAUACAAAAUGUGACUAAACUUUACAAUUUAGUCCUUUACUUUUUCUUUUCCCCGAUCUACUCCCGAAUUUCGUUCUUCUUGAUCUAUAAUAGCAAAUUUAACUUAUUUAAUAUUCAAAUUUAUUAAAACAGUCCUUGACCCAAACUUUUGCAAAAUUAUAUUUUUACCCCUAAACUUUCACAUAUUUGCACUUUUGCCCCAAGGCUCGUAAAUUAAACUUCAUCCUAUUUUCUUAUGUUUUAUGACAUGCUGAUCAUUUUUCCCUUCUAUGGCAAUAUCAAAAUCACACUCUAACAUAUACUUAUGAAUAUUGGUAUUUUUUUCCAAUUUAAGCCCUAUCAAUUCAAAACUUAUAUUUUAUUUUACAAAUCAAUCUUUUACUAACUUCUAACUUAAAAUUCAAUCAUUUUAACCUCUAGUUCAUCAAUUAAUUCAACAUAACUCAUGUCUAACAAUCUACUAACUUUCAAAAUAUCAACAUAAAUCAAGUAGUAUUAUCUCUAGGAUUCCAAAAACUCAAAAAUUAUAAGAAAAAGACUUAAUUUGACUUACCAAUUGAGCUUGGAACCUUAAAACCUUAAAUUUCCCUUUUUCUUUUUCUUUCUUUCUUUCUUUCUUUCCUUCCCUCUCUGCCCGUUUUGCUCUCUGUUUCUUUCUCUGUUUCGUCUCUUCUAUUCUGUUUCUUUUCUUUCUUUUUUUUUCUAUUCUUUCUUUUGUUUUAUGUAUAUAUAUAAUAUAAUAUAAUAUAUUAAUAAUAAUAUAAUAUAAAAACAUAAUCAUUACUAUAAUAUAAUAUUUUUUUAACACAUAAAAAUCUCAGAUUUUUAUACUUAUGCCGCCUCAACUUUGGAAAAAAGGCAUAAUUGCCUAUUUGGUCCUUUUAACUUUUCUUUAAACUUUUAUCCCUAUUGCAAUUUAAUCCUUUUUCAUAAUUAACUAUCGAAACAUUAAAAUUUCUUAACGAAACUUUAAUAUUAUCCUAUUGACACUCCGUAAAUAUUUAUAAAAAUAUUUACGGCUCAGUUUAUAAUAUCGAGGUCUCGAUACCUCGUUUUCGACCCAAUUUACCUAAUAAUUUCUUUUAAAUCACAAAAUUCACUAAUUCAAAAAUAUUUCUAACUUCUUCAUC
Molecule: long non-coding RNA, 2167 nt
Filed under: Gossypium barbadense (sea-island cotton)
Lineage: Eukaryota; Viridiplantae; Streptophyta; Magnoliopsida; Malvales; Malvaceae
Description: long non-coding RNA (GBAR_LNC004875)
Source: RNAcentral